CCCAAAGUGCUGGGAUUACAGACAUGAGCCACUGUGCCCUGCCUGACAUCUUUAUUUUGUCUCAUUCCUACUCUAAAAUCAAAACAUUCUUUAAAAAGCCAGAAAAGCACACCAAAUUAUGAUUUUUUUAAUUUUUACUUAGUUGGCCUUUUUUUUUUUUUUUUAAGAGAUGGCUUUUGCUAUGUUGCCCAGGCUGGACUCGAACUUCUGGGCUCGAAGGAUUCUCCCACCUCAGCCUCAUGAAUAGCUGGGACUAUACGCACUGCCAUCUCUCUUGGGUGUUUUUAUUUUAUUUCUUCAUUUAUUGUAUCCCAUCAGCCCAACAAGCCAACUUCUCUCACAUAGGAAUGGGGGCCUGGGUACAAAUUUCUUAUCCAGGCAAGAGGGGAUGAAAGGAGAUCCUCCUUCUUGCCCUUCUGAUGGUUGGGACAGAGUCCCUUUUAUGCGCGUGGGAGGUGUUUUGGUCUGGAUAGACACUGGGUAUAGAUUGACCUAGAAUAAAUGUUCUCACAUAAAUUCAUACCAAUUGCACAACAGUAUGGUUUAGAAAUCUUGAAAGCGUAUUUUAAAGCCCCAAAAUUACCUAAGAGGAAUUGAAAGGCUUCAAGCUCCUAAUACUCAGCAUAUGAGUGAGGAAAUGAUAGGACAAACCUGCAAAAGAAACUGUACUUCUGCAAAGGGGGCAGCCAGAAGGAAACGGAUCCCCUACUUCCAGAGAAAGAAAAGCUGACUGAUUUUCGUCUUCCUUUGCUCCCACAGAGCCUCACUCUAUGGAUUUUCCCAGACUGAUUCCUUAUGUGGCAUCUUGGCUAUAAUCAGUCUUGAGACAGGCCACCAAACAAAAAGCUUUUGAUUGCCAGUUUUCGCCACCUGCUGGUUGUUUCACAGCGUUACUCUCUUCAUCCAUCCAAGAAAGUUCUUUCAUCCAUCAUCAAUAUAAAUAUUCUCCAAGUUUAUGAAAUUCAAAAGGUACAUUAUUCUAACAUGAACAUACUAAUGUUUAAUAUAGGUAUGUAUCGGCCAGGUGUGGUUGCUCAUGCCUGUAAUCUCAGCACUUUGGGAGGCUGCGGUGGGUGUAUUGCUUGAGGCCAAGAGUUUGAGACCAGCCUGCACAACAUGACAAAACUCUAUCUCCACAAAAAAUACAAAAAUUAGCGGGGCAUGGUGGUGUGUGCCUGUAGUCCCAUCUACUCUGAAGGCUGAGAUAGGACGAUCACUUGAGCCCAGGAGGUGGAGGCUGUAGUGAGCUGUGAUCACACCACUGCACUGCAGCCUGGGUGACAGACUGAUACCCUGUCUCAAAAAAAAAAAGAAAAGAAAAGAAAAAAAAAAUCAUGUGUGUGUAUCAAAUCUUCCCAGCUAGUAAACUUUUUAUUGAAAAUGUGGGUAGAAUGAGACUAUUAACUGAGGAUAUUGAUAACUAAUAGGUCAGAUGGAAGAGUAAACCAUGGCCCCAACCUGAAAUGGAAAUUAAUCCAUAAAUAAAAUGAGCUGACUAGAGAGAAUAAAAACAAGUAGUCCAUAUAGUUUGCAUAAAAGAAAAAUGAGGCCGAGCGCAGUGGCUCACGGCUGUAAUCCCAGCACUUUGGGAGGCAGAGGUGGGCAGAUCACCUGAGGUCAGGAAUUCAAGACCAGGCUGACCAAUAUGGUGGAACCCCGUCUCUACUAAAAAUACAAAAAUUAGCCAGGCGUGGUGGCGGGGACCUGUAGUCCCAGCUACUCAGGAGGCUGAAACAGGAGAAUUGCUUGAACCCGGGAGGCAGAGAUUGCAGUGAGCCAAGAUCAUGCCACUGCACUCCAGCAUGGGUGAGAGAGUGAGACUCCAUCUCAAAAAAAAGAAAGAAAGAAAGAAAGAAAGAAAACUGCUUAAAAAAUAACUUCUCAGCCGGGUGCAGUGGCUCAUGCCUGUAAUCCCAGCACUUUGGGAGGCCGAGGUGGAUGGAUCACGAGGUCAGGAGAUCGAGACCAUCCUGGCCAACAUGGUGAAACCCUGUCUUUACUAAAACUACAAAAAUUAGCUGGGCAUGGUGGCAAGUGCCUGUAAUCCCAGCUACUCGAGAGGCUAGGCAGGAGAAUCACUUGAACCA
RNAcentral lists this long non-coding RNA (2087 nucleotides) under Homo sapiens (human). Its description in RNAcentral is "HSALNT0252307". The record is from RNAcentral. Lineage: Eukaryota; Metazoa; Chordata; Mammalia; Primates; Hominidae.